This 897-nucleotide ribosomal RNA is filed under the name uncultured archaeon. RNAcentral's name for it is "bacterial SSU rRNA". It matches the Rfam family "Archaeal small subunit ribosomal RNA", at positions 1 to 874 of the family's 1478-position model. The record is from RNAcentral.
UUCCGGUUGAUCCUGCCGGACCCUACUGCUAUCGGGGUGGGACUAAGACAUGCGAGUUGUGCGUCUCUAAGCUAUGGUAGAGACGCAGCGUACGGCUCAGUAACACGUGGCUAACCUGCCCUUAGGACGGGGACAACCCCGGGAAACUGGGGCUAAUACCCGAUAGGCGAGGAGGCCUGGAAUGGUUUUUCGCUGAAAUGGCGUUGAAACCAUGCUUUUCAACGUCGCCUAAGGAUGGGGCCGCGUCCGAUCAGGUUGUUGGUGAGGUAACGGCUCACCAAGCCUAUAACCGGUACGGGCCGUGAGAGCGGGAGCCCGGAGAUGGGCACUGAGACAAGGGCCCAGGCCCUACGGGGCGCAGCAGUCGCGAAAACUCCGCAAUGCGCGAAAGCGUGACGGGGCUACCCCGAGUGCCGUCCGCUGAGGAUGGCUUUUCCCCGGUGUAAUGAGCCGGGGGAAUAAGGAGAGGGCAAGACUGGUGUCAGCCGCCGCGGUAAUACCUGCUCUUCGAGUGGUAGGGACGAUUAUUGGGCUUAAAGCGUCCGUAGCCGGCUUAGCAAGUCUCCUGUUAAAUUCAGCGACCUAAUCGUUGAGCCGCGGGAGAUACUGUUGGGCUAGGAGGCGGGAGAGGCCGACGGUAUUCUCGGGGUAGGGGUGAAAUCCUAUAAUCCCGGGAGGACCACCAGUGGCGAAGGCUGUCGGCUAGAACGCGCUCGACGGUGAGGGACGAAAGCUGGGGGAGCGAACCGGAUUAGAUACCCGGGUAGUCCCAGCUGUAAACGAUGCGGGCUAGGUGUUGGGGUGGCUACGAGCCACUUCAGUGCCGCAGGGAAGCCAUUAAGCCCGCCGCCUGGGGAGUACGGCCGCAAGGCUGAAACUUAAAGGAAUUGGCGGGGG